UACCCAGACAGUGUGAAUCAGGUGAGUUAACACAACUGUCUGGAAGCCCAGCAUCACCCAGACAGUGUGAAUCAGGUGAGUUAACACAACUGUCUGGAAGCCCAGCAUCACCCAGACAGUGUGAAUCAGGUGAGUUAACUCAACUGUCUUGAAGCCCAGCAUCACCCAGACAGUGUGAAUCAGGUGAGUUAACUCAACUGUCUUGAAGCCCAGCAUCACCCAGACAGUGUGAACCAGGUGAGUUAACACAACUGUCUUGAAGCCCAGCAUCACCCAGACAAUGUGAAUCAGGUGAGUUAACUCGGCUGUCUUGAAGCCCAGCAUCACCCAGACAAGUGUACAUCACGUGAGUUAACUCAACUGUCUUAAAGCCCAGCAUCACCCAGACAAGUGUACAUCAGGUGAGUUAACACAACUGUUUUGAA
This 425-nucleotide long non-coding RNA is filed under the name Haliotis rubra (blacklip abalone). RNAcentral's name for it is "uncharacterized LOC124279355, transcript variant X1". The record is from RNAcentral. Lineage: Eukaryota; Metazoa; Mollusca; Gastropoda; Lepetellida; Haliotidae.